This 73-nucleotide transfer RNA is filed under the name Trichonephila inaurata madagascariensis. It matches the Rfam family "tRNA". From Rfam's summary of the family: Transfer RNA (tRNA) molecules are approximately 80 nucleotides in length. Their secondary structure includes four short double-helical elements and three loops (D, anti-codon, and T loops). Further hydrogen bonds mediate the characteristic L-shaped molecular structure. tRNAs have two regions of fundamental functional importance: the anti-codon, which is responsible for specific mRNA codon recognition, and the 3' end, to which the tRNAs corresponding amino acid is attached (by aminoacyl-tRNA synthetases). tRNAs cope with the degeneracy of the genetic code in two manners: having more than one tRNA (with a specific anti-codon) for a particular amino acid; and 'wobble' base-pairing, i.e. permitting non-standard base-pairing at the 3rd anti-codon position. Lineage: Eukaryota; Metazoa; Arthropoda; Arachnida; Araneae; Nephilidae. The record is from Rfam by way of RNAcentral.
GUCCCUGUAGAGCAAUUGAUAACGCGUUGGACAUCUAAUCCAAAGAUCGUGGGUUCGAAUCCCAUCUGGGAUG